This 460-nucleotide ribosomal RNA is filed under the name uncultured bacterium. RNAcentral describes it as "partial 16S ribosomal RNA". It matches the Rfam family "Bacterial small subunit ribosomal RNA", at positions 338 to 795 of the family's 1533-position model. The record is from RNAcentral.
CCUACGGGAGGCAGCAGUGAGGAAUAUUGGUCAAUGGACGAGAGUCUGAACCAGCCAAGUAGCGUGAAGGAUGACUGCCCUAUGGGUUGUAAACUUCUUUUAUAUGGGAAUAAAACGUUCCACGUGUGGGAUUUUGUAUGUACCAUAUGAAUAAGGAUCGGCUAAUUCCGUGCCAGCAGCCGCGGUAAUACGGAGGAUCCGAGCGUUAUCCGGAUUUAUUGGGUUUAAAGGGAGCGUAGGUGGAUUGUUAAGUCAGUUGUGAAAGUUUGCGGCUCAACCGUAAAAUUGCAGUUGAAACUGGCAGUCUUGAGUACAGUAGAGGUGGGCGGAAUUCGUGGUGUAGCGGUGAAAUGCUUAGAUAUCACGAAGAACUCCGAUUGCGAAGGCAGUUCACUGGACUGCAACUGACACUGAGGCUCGAAAGUGUGGGUAUCAAACAGGAUUAGAUACCCGUGUAGUC